UCAGCUUUGGGGCCACAGACGGCAGGACGCCAUCAUGUCCACCAUGGCCUGGUCCCCUCUGCUCCUCACCCUGGUCACUCUCUGCACAGGAUCCUGGGCCCAGGCUGUGCUGACUCAGCCGUCCUCCGUGUCCCGGUCCCCGGGCCAGAGGGUCUUCAUCACCUGCUCUGGAAGCAGCAGCAACGUUGGAACUGGCAAUUAUGUAGGCUGGUACCAACAGGUCCCAGGAUCAGCCCCCAAACUCCUCAUCUAUGGUGCAACCAGUCGAGCCUCGGGGGUCCCCGACCGAUUCUCCGGCUCCAGGUCUGGGAACACAGCCACCCUGACCAUCAGCUCGCUCCAGGCUGAGGAUGAGGCGGAUUAUUACUGUUCAUCUUAUCAGAGUGGUUACAGUUAUAGCACAGUGCUCCAGGCCAGGGGGAAGUGA
Capra hircus (goat) is the source of this 427-nucleotide non-coding RNA. Lineage: Eukaryota; Metazoa; Chordata; Mammalia; Artiodactyla; Bovidae. The record is from the annotation of a RefSeq genome assembly.